UUUUCUCUCUUUCUCUCUGUCUCUCUCUCUCUGUCUCUCUGUCUCUCUCUCUCUCUCUCUCUCUCUCUCUCUCUCUCUCUCUAUCUCUCUCUCUCUAUCUCUCUCUCCCCCUUAUUUUUUUCACUCACUGAGCAAUGAAAACCUGCCUAAUCCAAGAUUUGGAAAGUCACAGAUAAAUUGGUUUGCACCCAUGGAUCUAAUUGUAAAUAGUUUGUAAAUAGAUGACUUUAGUUUAGCAAAAGAGAAUGUUUUCCUGGAAAACAUUCAGAAUGAUGGGGCUGAAUCUCCUGGUUUUUAUCCUGUAAUUUCUUCAUUGAUAAUUAUCGUGACCCAAUUAAUGACAUGAGUAGCAUUUUAGUUUUUACUUGCAAAUAGCCUUGUAAAUGGAGCAUCUAACCAUCCAUAGUCUUUGAACUCCCCGGAAAGCAGGUAUACUGUUUCAUCUUUUAUGUAUAUCAAGAUUCCUGCCUGUGAAAUAUACAUGUAUCCUAUUUUGUUCUUUCAACAAAAUGUUUAUUAUGGCUUUCUACAGUUAUAGUGAAACUAUGUGAAUAGUGUGUCUACCCAGUCUGUGUGGCUUUCUCGGGGUAUUUCUGGGUCUGUCUGUGUUUCUCUGUUAUGUCAUGAAACAGGAGAGUUUCGUGACUGCAGUACUGAAACGCUGCUAUCUAAGUUCCUUUACAUGUUCCUCAGAAUAGUGUAAUAAGAUAAUUUUCUUUUGUUUUUGUACUUAGAAAUUUUAUUUCUGCAUUGACAUGAGUGAAGUUUACACUACUUUCGUAAUAUUUACAGGUAGCUAUAAAGUCUCUCUCUCUCUCUCUCUCUCUCUCUCUCUCUCUCUCUCCACUCAACAAGCAACUAAAAGCUGCCUACUCCAAGAUUUGGAAAGGCAGAGCUGAAUCUGUUUGCUCCCACGUAUCAAAGUGUAAAUAGUUUGUAAUUAGAUGACUUUAGUUAUGCAAAUAGAAUGUUUUCAUGGAAAACAUUCAGAAUGACGGGGCUGAAUCUCCUGGAUUAUAUCCUGUAGUUUCUUCAUUGAUAAUUAUCCUGAGCCUAGUAAUGGCAUGAGUAGCAUUUUGGGAAUUAUUUGUAAAUAGCCUUGUAAAUAUAGUAUCUAAACAUCCAUAGUCUUUGCAUUCCCCUAGAAAGCAGAUAUGCUGUUUCCUCUUUUAUAAAUGUAAACAUUUCAAUCUUUGACAUAUACAUCUAUCCUAUACUGUUCUUUCAACAAAAUGUUUAUUAUGACUUUCUAUGGUUUAUUGAAACUAUAUAAAUUGUGUGUCUACCCAGUAUGUGUUGGUAUCUCGGGGUAACUCUGGGUCUGUGUGUGUUUCUCUGUUAUGUCAUGAAACAGGAGAGUUUCAUGACUGCAGUACUGAAACGCUGCUAUAUAUGUCCCAUUGCCUUUUCCUCAGAAUACUGUAGUAAGAUUUUUUUUUGUUUCUGUAUUUAGAAAAUUCAUUUCUGCGUUCAAAGGAGUGAUGUUUCUACUAAUCUCGUAAUUUUGUCUUAGUAGUUAUAAAGUCUCUGUUUCUUCACUGACUGAGCAAGUAAAAGCUGCCUAUUCCAAGUUUUGGAAAGGCACAGAAGAAUCGGUUCGCACCCACGUAUCAAACUGUAAAUAGUUUGUAAUUAGAUGACUUUAGUUAAGCCAAAGAGAAUUUUUUCUUGGAAAACAAUCAGAAUGACGGGGUGGAAUCUCCUGGAUUAUAUCCCGUAAUUUCUUCAUUGAUAAUUAUCCUGACCCAAAUAAUGGCCUGAGUAGCAUUUUAGGAAUGACUUGUAAAUAGAUCCUCUUAUCGUCCAUAGCCUUUGUAGACCUCUAGAAAGCAGGCAUACUAUUUCAUCUUUUAUAAAUGUAAAUAUUCCCUUCUGUGACAUAUUCAUGUAACCUAUGUUGGUCUUUCAAAAAUAUUUAUUAUGGCCUUCUUUGAUUAUAGUGUAACUAUAUACAUAGAGUGGCAAACCAGUCCUUUUGCCACAAAAGAGGAGAUUUACAGAUAGAUCGAGGUAGCUGAGCAUGCUGAGUAAGCUCCAUCCUGUCCCCUGUACCUGUAGCUUUUAGUGAAAUCCUCAUUGGUAGCUGUUUUACAGUUUUUUCUUCUUUGGUUCUUGUACUUGUUGUUUUAUUUUUAACAGAUUUUUUUCCUUAUUACUUACAAAAGCUUCCAGUGAUAGCUAUAUUUUUCUUCUCUUUUUCAUACUUUUCCUUAAUAAAAUCCUUAUAGACACGUUAACAUGAUUUGAUAGGAAUUGGUUAUGUAUAGCUAUAAUCAUCUUGUGAAGUCAACAGAUCACAUUAGAGAUUAAGAUGGUCAUUAAAGAAUCUGGUUAUGGAGUUUGCCUUUCACAGGGCAGAACUUGCUAUUUGGAGGAGAAUCCUCUCUUCCCUUGACUGCUUGACAGCAUGCUGUCCAAACUAGACAAACAGGUUCCAAAGAAGACGGACUGCUGAAGACGCCAAGGGAAAGGAUGAUCCUUCUUAUAUUCUUCCUCCAAAAUUCUGCUACAUGUUCUGGCCAUACUGGCUGAAGAUGGAUGGGCUUAGGGUGCCGCCAAAAGUUGGGUGACUUUCAUGGAAGAGAGAUGUCUCUCCUAAUUUAUUGUUUUAUAUAGAAUCCUUCUGGAAUCUUUGUUGCUUUUGAGGACUGAUAAUUACCAUUAUGGAUUUUCUUAAUUAUGAUAAAUGUAACUUGCAUUUGAUUCUUUAACCUAACAAAGCAAGGGCAGACCAUGGAAUAUUUUCUUAAAAUUUGGCAAAUGUUAAUGUACUACAUAAUGAUAUCCAUAAUUUUUGCUCAUCAACUUUGAAAUACAUAAUUGGCCAAUGUGAAUUUUUUUUAAAAAAAAAAUCCUUAUUUUCUCCAGUAGGAAAUAGAACCUGAAGCAGAUGCUUUUCUAUAUGCUGUGGAUAUAUGUUUCUCUUAUUGGUUUAUGAAUGAAGCUAUUUUGGCCCAUAGUCAGACAAUAUGUAGCCAUUGAGGACAUAUAGGGAAUGAAGCCAGAGUUGAAUUCUGGGAGAGGUAUAUGGAGAGUGAGUCUCCUGAGAGUCGCCAUGUAACUUCAGGGAAUUUAGGUUGCUCUGUUUUCCUCUGUUAUGCUAAACCACCUGGAGAUUCACUGAUGAAAAGAAAUGGGUUAGGAUUUAUAGAGAGUGAGCAAAUAAGAUGAUUUUGCCUAAGUACAAAUAGUUUAUACUUAAUAUAUGCCUGUGUGUGUUCAUUUAGGAGUGGAGUGUGACAGGAUCAAACUGAACACUAUUUUCUGCCUACAUGUUGUUCAGGGAAUAAUUACUUAGUUGCUUUGUCUGUGUUCUGGGAUGUUUGAGAGGCCUUGUUUUCACAGAUCACGUGGUCAGCAAUCUGUUCCUGAGAAACAGUGUUGGGCCCAAUAGUUAGUUUCUAAAUGUCAUAUGCAAACUUUCAUUGAGUUUUGCAGCUUGUGCACACUGUUUUUCUGUUAAUAACAAAUCAAUGGCAAAGAAUUUCUACAUAAUCAACCUUUUCUUUUCCUAUAAUUGGGGUCAAAACCCAUCAAAUGUUGUUGAAGAAAUUUUCCUUUUAUUUUGUUCAAAGGUGAGCAUAAUUUUUCAAAAACGAGUUGUUUUGGUGACCCCAAGAACACAAUCAAAUGAAGUUUCUCUGUCUUGGUGUCACCUUGUGUGUGUUUAGAUAGCUACAAUCAUAUGGGGAGUAUAACAGAAUGAAGUAGUGAAAAUAAGCAUGUGAAGUGAACAUUAACUUUAUAAAUUAAUACUCAAAAUGAUAACUACAUAUGGUAUAACUUAAAGUACAUAUUGAACAUCUUUCCUUGGGCUCAUAAGUGUGAUAUAUUUACUGCUUUGAACAUAUUUUCCUCAUACAUGAUUGAGUUAAUGUAUCCAAAUUUCACACAAGUGCUGUGGAAGGUUACUAAAAUUUAAAAUAUGGAAAAAUUAAUUUGGUGCUUGAUUUGUUCCUAUAAUAAAAAAUUUAGAAUUCAUCUUUUGUCUAAUGAGUUGUAAAUAUAUUUGGAUAUUCAUAUACAUAGUUAUAGAUAUGUGCAUUUAUACAAUAUAUAAUAAGUACAUCCACCUACCCCAACUAACAAUUUAAGCAAUAGUGGAGAUGCUGUCUUAAAUGUGCUUCCUUGUAAUGAGAAUUGAUGUCUAUCUUACAGGUCAUCCUAGAGCCUUUCUCCAGUAGCUGAUUCAAGCAGAAGGAAACAUCCACAGCUAAACACUGAGCUAUAUUCCUGGAAUCCACUUGCAGAGAGCGAGGAGGGAUAAUAUAGGGGUCAUGACCGCACUGCAGAAACCCAGAGAAACAGAUGAGCUGAACAAAGGGGAGCUCAUGGACCCCAGACUGAUAGCUGGGAAACUAGCAAAGAACUUAUCCAGACUUGAACACAUCUGUCAGUUACGAAUCCUGGACAAUCUAUGGGGUCUCUGGGAGUGGAUCAGUAUUUAUUCAUGUUAUAGGAAUGGACUUUGAGAGCCCAUUCCACAUAGAGGGAUACUCUUUCAACUAGACACACCAGGGAGAGCCUAGAACCUGCUCCAAAUGAUAUAACAGACUUUGAAGUUCCCCCAUGGAAGUUCCCAACCUCACUGGGGAGGAGAAAUGGCAUGGGAUAGGGGGUGGGGAUCAUGAGAGGAUGGGACAGAGAGGGAACUGGGAUUGACAUUUAUCAAGCUUGUUUAUAAUUUAAAUUUAAAAAAUCAAAAAAAUUAGUAUGUCCACACAGAAGUACUAUCUGACAGUUGACUGGAUUUAUCAUCAUGGAAGACCUAAAUAAUACCAAGGCAACCAGGCAGUGUUGCUUACAGAUAUAUUCUAAAGGCUAUUGUUGAAUCCAAAUGGAUUCAGAGACUGCUUAUUAACUGGUAAUUUAUUUGGGAGUUAUACUCACACAAAAAUCCAUAACCAGGUUGUCACUUCUAGUGGUAGAGUCCCAGCAGCUUUCCAAUGCUGGUUCAACCCCGAGAGAGAGACAGAGAGAGCACUAGCUCUAUCUUACCUUGUUUACACCUUUCUAUAUACAUGUGACCACAUGCGGUGCGGUCAACCGUACAGGUAAUUAAGGUCUUUUUUUGAGGAAUUUUUGAUUCUCUACUGUAUUUUACCCUGUAUAUUUUAAGCCAUAAAUCUCACUUUGGGUACUGGUAGAUUUAGAAUUCAAUUGGUAGGCUAGGGUGACUUGUAAUUUCACAAACAUGUUUCAGCCUCACCCUUUCAAGUGCUAAAUUUAUAGAAAUUUACAAGGAACAUAAUUAAAAUUUACAUUCCAAUAUUACUCUCUGGUAAAAACAGAAAAAUUAUAUGGAGCCAUCAUAAUGUCUGGAAUACAGGAUGCAAUCCUGCAAGUAAAAAGUCAGAGAAUGGAUAGUAUGUUGUUGUUUACAAAAUAUAUGAAAUAUGCCCACCUUUAAAAAACUUAGUAAAAGCCAAUACUUAAAAAAAACUAGAAGAUAUUGGAUGCCUUCUGUGUGGUAAGUACUGAGCUGAAUUCCUAGAAUUCAGUUGUAGAGAGGGCGUAGUAAUGAGUAAAGGCGUCAAGAUCAUGGCAGAGAAACAUUCAAAAACAGCUGACCUGAUCAAGUGGUAAUACAUGAACACCCAUGACAGCUGGGUAACUAGCAUAAGACUGAACCAGGCUUCUUGAUUGGGGGUGUCAAUGGAAGGCCUAUGCUCUCUAUAGGGCCUUUGGCAGAGGAACCAGUAUUUAUCCAAGUACACAAAACGGUCUUUGGGUACCCAUUUUCUAUGGAAGGAUAUUCUCUCAGCCUAGAUACAUUGGAGAAGGUCUUGGUCCUGCCCCAAAAUAUGUGACAGACUUUGAUGUCACAUAUUGUGAUGCCUUGUUGGAGGCAUCACACACUCUGGGAGUGUUUGGUGGGUGUGAUGGGGAGUUUGUGUGGGGGAGCAUGGGAGGAUGGGAUGGAGUGGGAACUGAGAUUGAUAUGUAAAAUAAGAUUGUUUUUAAUUUAAACAAAAAUUGAUUUAAUAAAGGAAACCUAGGGUACAUGAGUUUGAGAAGAACCAGAUUUAUUCUAUAUCUAAGUGAAUUUGUUGGGGAAUAAAUAAAACACAGAGAAAAUUUCAAUCCCUUCUCCAAAUAUAUUGGAACUUAUUCCCAAUGCCAUUAAAUUUUUAUUUUGAAAGUAAUACAGAGACCCUCAUAAGGGCAAAAUUCUGAGAGACUUUGAAGGACUUAUGUCUAAAUGGG
Molecule: long non-coding RNA, 6207 nt
Filed under: Cricetulus griseus (Chinese hamster)
Lineage: Eukaryota; Metazoa; Chordata; Mammalia; Rodentia; Cricetidae
Description: lncRNA (ENSCGRG00015042327.1)
Source: RNAcentral